CCGCCUUUAAAAAAAUAUUAUUUUCAUGACACAAAAUCUAAUAAUGCAUUUCCCACUUCCAUGAAUAAUUCUAAUUUCUAGAUUCAUUUAUUACGAUCAAUUUUCCAUUCCUAAAUGAAAAACGAAGAAAAACAAAAGUUUCGGUUACGUUUGGAUUUCUGUUUACGUUCUCAAACCCCCCACGCUGCGCGCACCUUUAGCUCAACGCAGUAAGGUGUUUUUUGUACAAGUAUUACUACGCCAUUUUUAUUUCAGUCGUUGGGAAACACUCUUACGUUGCAUAAAUGAUUUACGUACUUUAAUUUUAUUAAUUAAUACGAUAUUUUGUAUUUAUAUUUAUUAAAAUGUUUCGUAAAUUCGAUUUAAAAUAAUAUUACGUUCGAUUAUUCGGUAAUAUCGUCGCGAAAGUGUUUGAUUUCUCGGAACUAUGUUUUUGUAAUUGUGAUCGAGUCGUUUACGACCAUUUUGAAUUCUUGUCGACACUUGUAAGGUAGUCUCCCACUUUUCCGUUAAUAAUUCUAGUUAUUCGCGAUAUUUUGUUGAUAUUUUUAGCCUUUUCGGUAAUUUUUUGCAGUUCAAUGUGCCUCGAAGUGACGUAAAGUAAUAUACGAUUCGAUCUUUUCUCUUUGUCGGUGUUUUUAGUUAAAGAAGUGCGUACGUACAGGUAUUCGUUUGCAGCUGCGACGGUUUGUUUUUCACGACUUUUUUCUCGUAAAUUUCAUCGGAUUUUCUAAUGCUUAACAAGUGAUUCGAUUUAAAUACGGUAUCGGUGACCUACGUAUUGUUUUCGCGUAUUCUAGUUUCCGGUGUGUUCUUUGAUUUCGUAAUAUUCGAUGCGUACGUGUUUUCCGGCGUCCAGUGGUCUACCAGUUCACACCUGUUUCACAUUUAUUUCCAGAUUUUCUUCGUUUAAUCGAUUCAAUCAUAAAGUGUUUCGAUGGGCACGAGUGUCGAAUUGUUACAUUUUUUGGUGGAUUCUUGCGACAUCAUGACUGUUAUCAUGAUUUUUAUACGAGAAUCAUUCAGGAACUGUUUUCCACCCAACAACAUGACUGAUUCGGACUCCUGGAAAAUUCAAACACAUAUCAUGCUAUUGAAAAUCUCAAGAUACCAAUCAAGGUUCUCAUCGUAGCAAGUUCCAACUAUGAACUAUGCCCACAAAGAAUCAUUUUGACUCAGUGAUCUGAACAUACGAAUCCAACAUUUUAAAAUAUGAUUAUUUAGAAGAAAGCUGCGAAAUGUAAUAAUUUGGCAAGUUCCUGCUCAUUUGAUAGAAUUACGACUUACGAGAUAAAUUUGAAGACAAAUUAAACGAACAACAAUCGUUGGUAUCAUACUACCUACCUACUUAUCUGUCUAUCGUUCUUGUCAAAAUGUGUUAUUCUCAUCUCGCGAAACAUGUGAAGGAAAAAUUCAAGUAGAAAAUUUUAUCGAAGAAGUACAUUCUACUUACUUACGAAAAUUAGAUAUAGGUAGAUCAAACGUACCUACUCAUAAAACGUGAUCAAGUUCUCUUGUUUAUCUCGAAAUGCGAAUUCGUAGCGUAGCUGAGAGCAGAACAAAGGUGUCUGAUACCUCCGGGAUAAGUGGCACCUAUGGAAACAGUUGACAGGGUCAAUUUUUGGGGAAAGAAUAUUUUUAAAAACGUGGAUAUUCGGUACAAAUUGCGUAUUCAAAAUGCCACAAAUAUUUACCAACAUAUUAUUACUCAUCUUAUUGGACAAUGGACAUCAUAUUUCUACCAUAAAGUACCAUCAUACUCUGGAAUCGGACGAUGUAAUCAUUUUUAUUUUAUGAAAUGUUGACAUUAUUGUUAUAAGUACUUUACUUAAUUUGAAAAUGUAUUUUGUAAUUUAUUUUGUCGUGCCCAAAUAAUUCUGUGUGGCAUUAUGUAUCUAAACAUAUGAAAUGCAUAUUACGUACCUUAAGUUAACUUGUAAGAGUAUCCGGAUACUUGGGUAGAUUUAAGCAGUAGGUUAAGUUGGUAAUUAACGUACUUACCUAUUUAUAUGAUGUAUUCUUGAUUGCAUUCAUUAUUUUUCAUGUCAUGUUCAAUUGUAAUUGUAUAA
Molecule: long non-coding RNA, 2069 nt
Organism: Planococcus citri (citrus mealybug)
Lineage: Eukaryota; Metazoa; Arthropoda; Insecta; Hemiptera; Pseudococcidae
Exons: 7
Source: RefSeq, a predicted model, not a curated record